Molecule: ribosomal RNA, 844 nt
Filed under: Calathus rotundicollis
Lineage: Eukaryota; Metazoa; Arthropoda; Insecta; Coleoptera; Carabidae
Description: eukaryotic LSU rRNA
Rfam family: Eukaryotic large subunit ribosomal RNA
Source: RNAcentral
UGUUCAGGGGUAAACCUGUGGUUCCCGAAAGUUCGAACGGGGAGAUUCAAUUGCCUCGCCGGUUAUGACCAUUUAACAGUGAUAUGUUUAUAUAUAUAUUAGAGACAUUAUAUGGCGGUUGCGGGUUUAUUCUCGUAACUGUUUCUGUGUAGUGCUCCACUGUUUUAUGAUAUAUAGUUUAUAGCCGGAGGCGUGCACUUCUCCCCUUGUAGGACGUCGUGACCCAUUGGAUUAUGUUGUCUAAGGCUUAUAAUGGAGACCGUGACAUUAGGGCCGAAAGGCCUCAAUGAUCCGGACUUAUAAUGUCCCGACAUCUAUCCGAUGGUAUAAUUAUGAUGAUAGAUCGCUAUAAAUGCGUAUGAGCGUUCAGAUCCGUAACAAAUUCUUUAUAUGAUAAUAAAUAGUGGAAAUCGGAUUUAAUGCCGAUUCUACACAUAUGGUAUUGAUAGUUAUGGUAUUCUCGAACCGUUCUUUAUCAUCAGUCAACGGCGUUUAUGUUUUGGGUAAUUACAGGACCCGUCUUGAAACACGGACCAAGGAGUCUAGCAUGUGCGCAAGUCAUUGGGACUUUGUGAAACCUAAAGGCGUAAUGAAAGUGAAAUAUUUGUGAAUUUUCGUAAUUCACUGAAUUUAAGGGAAGAUGGGUAACGAUUUUUAUGUUACCUCGCAUUCCCGGGGCGUCGCGUACUUAUUGCAAGUUGCGGCGCACCAAGAGCGUACACGCUGGGACCCGAAAGAUGGUGAACUAUGCCUGGUCAGGAUGAAGUCAGGGGAAACCCUGAUGGAGGUCCGUAGCGAUUCUGACGUGCAAAUCGAUCGUAUGAACUGGGNAUAGGGGCGAAAG